Molecule: ribosomal RNA, 451 nt
Filed under: uncultured bacterium
Lineage: Bacteria
Description: partial 16S ribosomal RNA
Rfam family: Bacterial small subunit ribosomal RNA
Source: RNAcentral
GAUGAACGCUGGCGGCGUGCCUAACACAUGCAAGUCGAGCGGCAGCGAGGGGUGCUUGCACCCUGUCGGCGAGCGGCGGACGGCUGAGUAACGCGUGGGAACGUGCCCCAAAGUGAGGAAUAACUGCCCGAAAGGGUAGCUAAUACCGCAUAUUAUCUUCGGAUCAAAGGAUUUAUCCGCGUUGGGAGCGGCUCGCGUCGGAUUAGGUAGUUGGUGAGGUAAUGGCUCACCAAGCCGACGAUCCGUAGCUGGUCUGAGAGGAUGACCAGCCAGACUGGAACUGAGACACGGUCCAGACUCCUACGGGAGGCAGCAGUGAGGAAUCUUCCACAAUGGGCGAAAGCCUGAUGGAGUAACGCCGCGUGCAGGACGAAGGCCUUCGGGUUGUAAACUGCUUUUAUAAGUGAGGAAUAUGACGGUAACUUAUGAAUAAGGAUCGGCUAACUACGUG